GACGAACGCUGGCGGCGUGCUUAACACAUGCAAGUCGAACGGAAAGGCCCUGCUUUUGUGGGGUGCUCGAGUGGCGAACGGGUGAGUAACACGUGAGUAACCUGCCCUUGACUUUGGGAUAACUUCAGGAAACUGGGGCUAAUACCGGAUAGGAGCUCCUGCUGCAUGGUGGGGGUUGGAAAGUUUCGGCGGUUGGGGAUGGACUCGCGGCUUAUCAGCUUGUUGGUGGGGUAGUGGCUUACCAAGGCUUUGACGGGUAGCCGGCCUGAGAGGGUGACCGGCCACAUUGGGACUGAGAUACGGCCCAGACUCCUACGGGAGGCAGCAGUGGGAAAUAUUGCACAAUGAGCGGAAGCCUGAUGCAGCAACGCCGCGUGCGGGAUGACGGCCUUCGGGUUGUAAACCGCUUUCGCCUGUGACGAAGCGUGAGUGACGGUAAUGGGUAAAGAAGCACCGGCUAACUACGUG
RNAcentral lists this ribosomal RNA (468 nucleotides) under uncultured bacterium. Its description in RNAcentral is "partial 16S ribosomal RNA". It matches the Rfam family "Bacterial small subunit ribosomal RNA", at positions 28 to 507 of the family's 1533-position model. The record is from RNAcentral.